AGUAAUGUAUCGGAACGUGCCCAGUAGCGGGGGAUAACUACGCGAAAGCGUAGCUAAUACCGCAUACGCCCUACGGGGGAAAGCAGGGGAUCGCAAGACCUUGCACUAUUGGAGCGGCCGAUAUCGGAUUAGCUAGUUGGUGGGGUAACGGCUCACCAAGGCGACGAUCCGUAGCUGGUUUGAGAGGACGACCAGCCACACUGGGACUGAGACACGGCCCAGACUCCUACGGGAGGCAGCAGUGGGGAAUUUUGGACAAUGGGGGAAACCCUGAUCCAGCCAUCCCGCGUGUGCGAUGAAGGCCUUCGGGUUGUAAAGCACUUUUGGCAGGAAAGAAACGUCGCGGGUUAAUACCCCGCGAAACUGACGGUACCUGCAGAAUAAGCACCGGCUAACUACGUGCCAGCAGCCGCGGUAAUACGUAGGGUGCAAGCGUUAAUCGGAAUUACUGGGCGUAAAGCGUGCGCAGGCGGUUCGGAAAGAAAGAUGUGAAAUCCCAGAGCUUAACUUUGGAACUGCAUUUUUAACUACCGGGCUAGAGUGUGUCAGAGGGAGGUGGAAUUCCGCGUGUAGCAGUGAAAUGCGUAGAUAUGCGGAGGAACACCGAUGGCGAAGGCAGCCUCCUGGGAUAACACUGACGCUCAUGCACGAAAGCGUGGGGAGCAAACAGGAUUAGAUACCCUGAUAGUCCACGCCCUAAACGAUGUCAACUAGCUGUUGGGGCCUUCGGGCCCUUGG
Molecule: ribosomal RNA, 738 nt
Filed under: Achromobacter sp.
Lineage: Bacteria; Pseudomonadati; Pseudomonadota; Betaproteobacteria; Burkholderiales; Alcaligenaceae
Description: bacterial SSU rRNA
Rfam family: Bacterial small subunit ribosomal RNA
Source: RNAcentral